CCUGCCGUUCCUAUCUCUUCUCUAUUUCUCUACCCUCUUCUUCCCCAAAACCCAACACUGAAAAUCAAUCUUGCCAAGAAGCCAUACCCACACUGUCAAGUCCGAAAUAGAAAGAAGGCAUCACUGAUCUCCACCUUUGAGCACUGACGACAUCUUGAGACUUUACCAUCAGACCAGAUUCUCUCUGCAAACAUUACCGGACACAGUCUUUGAUCCAUAUUCCCUCACUUGUGGCCAUAUAUUUUGCUACAUGUGUGCAUGCUCAUCUGCAUUAGUGUCAAUUGUUGAUAAGUUAAAGUCAAUAGAGCCUAAAGGAAAAUGCCCUCUGUGCCGAGAGCUUAUGAAUUUUAAGGAGAAAGAUGGCUUUUCAUUUUGAUUGGUGAUGAACUGGACUAAUUAUACUACUCAUCAACGGCAUGGAAUCUUUCAGUUAAGGUGAAAAGGGUUGCAUUGGUGAGUUUCUUUUGUAUUUCUCUUACCUUUCAAAGGGCACAAGACUGAGGAUGUAUACUUUUAUAAUGCCUGAUCUACAUGAGAUGGAGUUUCUACUAAUGAACAAUUAGAUGCUUGUAGUGCACACAAGACUGAGACAGGGCUAAUGAAUAACAUUAUGUAAUAACAUUAUAACCUUAGUUCACCAAGUUCAAGGUCCUUAAUGAUUUUCUUUUAAUAUGUUAUUUAUUUAUUUAUUUAAAUGGAUGUAGUUUAUAUAAAGAUAUGUUAAGCAUUCUUGUGUU
This is a long non-coding RNA of Quercus robur (English oak), 737 nucleotides long. RefSeq lists it as uncharacterized. NCBI's taxonomy places the organism in Eukaryota, Viridiplantae, Streptophyta, Magnoliopsida, Fagales, Fagaceae. The record is from RefSeq and is a predicted model, not a curated record. The transcript has 4 exons.